Molecule: ribosomal RNA, 496 nt
Filed under: uncultured Glomus
Lineage: Eukaryota; Fungi; Glomeromycota; Glomeromycetes; Glomerales; Glomeraceae
Description: SSU rRNA
Rfam family: Eukaryotic small subunit ribosomal RNA
Source: RNAcentral
AGCAGCCGCGGUAAUUCCAGCUCCAAUAGCGUAUAUUAAAGUUGUUGCAGUUAAAAAGCUCGUAGUUGAAUUUCGGGACCAAUUUGUUGGUCGUGCCUCGGUACGUACUGGUAUUAUUGGUUUCUCCCUUCUGAAGAACCAUGAUGCCAUUAAUUUGGUGUCGUGGGGAAUCAGGACUGUUACUUUGAAAAAAUUAGAGUGUUUAAAGCAGGCAUACGCUUGAAUACAUUAGCAUGGAAUAAUGAAAUAGGACGUUUGAUUCUAUUUUGUUGGUUUCUAGGAUCGACGUAAUGAUUAAUAGGGAUAGUUGGGGGCAUUAGUAUUCAAUUGUCAGAGGUGAAAUUCUUGGAUUUAUUGAAGACUAACUACUGCGAAAGCAUUUGCCAAGGAUGUUUUCAUUAAUCAAGAACGAAAGUUAGGGGAUCGAAGACGAUCAGAUACCGUCGUAGUCUUAACCAUAAACUAUGCCGACUAGGGAUCGGAUGAUGUUAAUUUU